RNAcentral lists this small nuclear RNA (24 nucleotides) under Arabidopsis thaliana (thale cress). RNAcentral's name for it is "snRNA_08428". Lineage: Eukaryota; Viridiplantae; Streptophyta; Magnoliopsida; Brassicales; Brassicaceae. The record is from RNAcentral.
UAAAACAAAGCAUUGCGAUGGUCC